RNA transcript from Tripterygium wilfordii, 1477 nucleotides. It is a transcript of the gene named pre-mRNA-splicing factor ISY1 homolog, with no coding region annotated. The transcript has 3 exons. The record is from RefSeq and is a predicted model, not a curated record. Lineage: Eukaryota; Viridiplantae; Streptophyta; Magnoliopsida; Celastrales; Celastraceae.
UUACUCUGCAAUACUGCGAAUCGAAUACGACCGAGACCGCGAAUGCUGCCGAAGAUUUGAGAUUUGUUCGCCCCUUUUAUAUAUCUAGGGUUUACAAAUUCCCUCUGCAUACUUGAUACUUGAUCUUCAAGUUCCUCACAAAUUUUCAAUCUAGCUUUUCGUUUCUGCGUUUCGAAACUUCAAAGCCAUGGCUCGUAACGAAGAGAAAGCUCAGUCGAUGCUGAAUCGAUUCAUCACCAUGAAAGAGCAGGAGAAGAAGAAACCGAAGGAGCGGCGUCCGUACCUCGCCUCCGAGUGCCGAGACUUGGCGGAAGCGGACAAGUGGCGUCAGCAGAUCAUGCGUGAGAUCGGACGGAAGGUUGCUGAGGUCCAGAACGAAGGUCUCGGGGAGCACCGGCUUCGCGACCUCAACGACGAGAUUAAUAAGCUCAUACGUGAGAAGUUGCACUGGGAGCGACGCAUUGUCGAGCUCGGCGGUCCUAACUACACCAAACACUCAGCUAAGAUGACGGAUCUAGAGGGCAACAUCGUCGACGUCCCCAACCCCAGUGGUCGUGGUCCCGGUUACCGGUACUUUGGAGCCGCUAAGAAGCUCCCUGGUGUAAGAGAAUUGUUUGAGAAACCACCGGAGCUGCGUAAAAGAAGGACGAGAUACGAUAUUUAUAAGAGGAUUGAUGCCAGUUAUUACGGGUACAGAGACGAUGAGGAUGGAGUUCUCAAAAAAGUGGAGAAGCCAGCGGAGGAAAAGAUGAGGAAGGAAGCUGUGGAGGAGUGGCGGAGGAUGGAGGAUAUAAGGAAGGAGGCGAGGAAAGGAGUGAGUGAGGUGGUGAGUGUGGGGCCUGCAGUGAAGGAGCUGUUGGUUGAGGAAGAGGAAGACGUGGUGGAGGAGGAAAGGAUGAAGGAGAGGGAGGAGAAUGAGAGGAGAGAUAGGGAGAGGGAGUUUGUGGCACACGUGCCACUGCCAGACGAGAAGUUGAUUGAAAGAAUGGUGGUGGAGAAGAAGAAGAUGGAACUGCUGAGCAAAUAUGCUACCCAAGAUUUGCUGGAGGGGCAGAGCGAGGCCAAGGCAAUGCUCAAUAUUCAGCGCUAAAAGGUCAUGAUGAGUUUGAAAAUUUUAGCAGUUUGGCUACCCAUGUCUAAGACACCAUUGCUUUUGGAGGAUAUCCCUGGUUUGAGAAUUGAGAAGCUAAGCUGGAAAAAGGAUUGUGACUGUGCACUUGAGAGUUUCUAUCUAAAUGUUGCUGCAACAGUAGUCUCUGGCAUCAAAUUGCUGUCCCAGUUGCUCGAAAGCCCGACUGGAAAGUUCACCAGGUGCGGUUAGGCUUAUUGUUUGUAAUCCAUUUUUCAGAAUGAGAAGUUGACAGCUUGACUUCCUUUUGUAAAUAUGUCAUUAGACAACGAGAUUAGUAUUGAAAGCUUGUAUUAUUGAUUUUGCUGUAAUAUGACACCAAAAUCGUUCAAAAUUUGAAACUACAAA